Molecule: ribosomal RNA, 480 nt
Filed under: uncultured bacterium
Lineage: Bacteria
Description: partial 16S ribosomal RNA
Rfam family: Bacterial small subunit ribosomal RNA
Source: RNAcentral
GACGAACGCUGGCGGCGUGCUUAACACAUGCAAGUCGAACGAUGAAGUUCCUUCGGGAAUGGAUUAGUGGCGAACGGGUGAGGAACACGUGAGAAACCUGCCUUUCAUUUUGGGAUAACUCCGGGAAACCGGGGCUAAAACCGAAUACUCCGUCUCGGCGGCAUCGCUGAGCCGGGAAAAAAUUUUGAUGAAAGAUGGUCUCGCGGCCUAUUAGCUAGUUGGUGAGGUAAUGGCUCACCAAGGCAACGACGGGUAGCCGGCCUGAGAGGGCGACCGGCCACACUGGGACUGAGACACGGCCCAGACUCCUACGGGGGGCAGCAGUGGGGAAUAUUGGGCAAUGGGCGCAAGCCUGACCCAGCGACGCCGCGUGAGGGAUGAAGGCCUUCGGGUUGUAAACCUCUUUCAGUAGGGAAGAAGCGAAAGUGACGGUACCUAAAGAAGAAGCACCGGCUAACUAUGUGCCAGCCGCCGCAGUAA